RNAcentral lists this ribosomal RNA (715 nucleotides) under uncultured Bacteroidota bacterium. Its description in RNAcentral is "bacterial SSU rRNA". It matches the Rfam family "Bacterial small subunit ribosomal RNA", at positions 62 to 778 of the family's 1533-position model. Lineage: Bacteria; Pseudomonadati; Bacteroidota. The record is from RNAcentral.
UCGAGGGGUAUUGUUCUUCGGAAUGAGAGACCGGCGCACGGGUGCGUAACGCGUAUGCAAUCUACCUUUCACAGAGGGAUAGCCCAGAGAAAUUUGGAUUAAUACCUCAUAGCAUAAUGAGUUGGCAUCAACACAUUAUUAAAGUCACAACGGUGAAAGAUGAGCAUGCGUCCCAUUAGCUAGUUGGUAAGGUAACGGCUUACCAAGGCUACGAUGGGUAGGGGUCCUGAGAGGGAGAUCCCCCACACUGGUACUGAGACACGGACCAGACUCCUACGGGAGGCAGCAGUGAGGAAUAUUGGUCAAUGGGCGCAAGCCUGAACCAGCCAUGCCGCGUGCAGGAUGACGGUCCUAUGGAUUGUAAACUGCUUUUGUACGGGAAGAAACACUCCGACGUGUCGGAGCUUGACGGUACCGUAAGAAUAAGGAUCGGCUAACUCCGUGCCAGCAGCCGCGGUAAUACGGAGGAUCCAAGCGUUAUCCGGAAUCAUUGGGUUUAAAGGGUCCGUAGGCGGUUUAGUAAGUCAGUGGUGAAAGCCCAUCGCUCAACGGUGGAACGGCCAUUGAUACUGCUAGACUUGAAUUAUUGGGAAGUAACUAGAAUAUGUAGUGUAGCGGUGAAAUGCUUAGAGAUUACAUGGAAUACCAAUUGCGAAGGCAGGUUACUACCAAUGGAUUGACGCUGAUGGACGAAAGCGUGGGUAGCGAACAGGAU